GAUGAACGCUGGCGGCGUGCCUAAUACAUGCAAGUCGAGCGAACGGACGAGAAGCUUGCUUUUGUGAUGUUAGCGGCGGAGGGUUGAGUAACAUGUGGAUAAUCUUCCUAUGAAACUGGGAUAACUUCGGGAAACCGGCGCUAAUACCGGAUAAUAUUUUGAACCGCUUGGUUCAAAAGUGAAAGACGGUCUUGCUGUCUCUUAUAGAUGGAUCCGCGCUGCAUUAGCUAGUUGGUAGGGUAACGGCUUACCCAGGCAACGAUGCAUAGCCGACCUGAGAGGGUGAUCGCCCACACGGGAACUGAGACUCAUUACACACUCCUACGGGAGGAAGCAGUAGAGAAUCUUACGCGAGGGGCGAGAGCGUGACGGUGCAACGCCGCGGGAGUGAUGAUGGUCUUAGGAUCGUUGAGCUCUGUUAUUAGGAAAGAACAUAUGUGUAAGUAGCUGUGAACAUCUUGACGGUACCAAAACAAGAAGCCACGGCUAACUACGUG
RNAcentral lists this ribosomal RNA (497 nucleotides) under uncultured bacterium. RNAcentral's name for it is "partial 16S ribosomal RNA". It matches the Rfam family "Bacterial small subunit ribosomal RNA", at positions 28 to 507 of the family's 1533-position model. The record is from RNAcentral.